Molecule: transfer RNA, 54 nt
Filed under: Caenorhabditis brenneri
Lineage: Eukaryota; Metazoa; Nematoda; Chromadorea; Rhabditida; Rhabditidae
Source: Rfam by way of RNAcentral
GCCGCUAUAGCUCAGUCGGUUAGAGCGUGGGUCUAAUAAGCUCUGCUAGCGGCA